UACGUAGGGUGCAAGCGUUGCCCCGGAUUUAUUGGGCGUAAAGGGCUCGUAGGCGGUUUGUCGCGUCGGGGAGUGAAAACUCAGGGCUCAACCCUGAGCGUGCUUCCGGAUACGGGCAGACUAGAGGUAUGCAGGGGAGAACGGAAUUCCUGGUGUAGCGGUGGAAGUGCGCAGAUAUCAGGAGGAACACCGGUGGCGAAGGCGGUUCUCUGGGCAUUACCUGACGCUGGAGGAGCGAAAGCAUGGGGAGGCGAACAGG
RNAcentral lists this ribosomal RNA (259 nucleotides) under uncultured bacterium. Its description in RNAcentral is "partial 16S ribosomal RNA". It matches the Rfam family "Bacterial small subunit ribosomal RNA", at positions 524 to 776 of the family's 1533-position model. The record is from RNAcentral.